GUCUUUGGCCAAACCAACCUGAACACGACUGCCUUAGAAGUAAACAGAGUAGGGCCUGGUUAGUACUUGAAAGGCAGAGAGGUGGCUGGAGAGU
Molecule: ribosomal RNA, 94 nt
Organism: Cricetulus griseus (Chinese hamster)
Lineage: Eukaryota; Metazoa; Chordata; Mammalia; Rodentia; Cricetidae
Source: Ensembl